RNAcentral lists this ribosomal RNA (393 nucleotides) under uncultured bacterium. RNAcentral describes it as "partial 16S ribosomal RNA". It matches the Rfam family "Bacterial small subunit ribosomal RNA", at positions 523 to 918 of the family's 1533-position model. The record is from RNAcentral.
AUACGGAAGGUCCGGGCGUUAUCCGGAUUUAUUGGGUUUAAAGGGAGCGCAGGCGGAGAUGCAAGCGUGACGUCAAAUUUCGGGGCUCAACCCCGUCUCGCGUCGCGAACUGCGUCCCUUGGUUGCGGGAAGGGGAGGCGGAACUCGUGGUGUAGCGGUGAAAUGUAUAGAUAUCACGAAGAACUCCGAUCGCGAAGGCAGCCUUCCGGCCCGUCAACGACGCUCAUGCUCGAAGGUGCGGGUAUCAAACAGGAUUAGAUACCCUGGUAGUCCGCACAGUAAACGAUGGACACCCGCGGUUUGGCCUGUAUGGCUGAGCCGCCAAGCGAAAGCGUUAAGUGUCCCACCUGGGGAGUACGCCGGCAACGGUGAAACUCAAAUGAAUUGGCGGGG